This 80-nucleotide transfer RNA is filed under the name bovine gut metagenome. It matches the Rfam family "tRNA". Rfam says of the family: Transfer RNA (tRNA) molecules are approximately 80 nucleotides in length. The record is from RNAcentral.
UGAAGUGGCGGAAUGGUAGACGCACAGGACUUAAAAUCCUGUGGUAGAAAUACCGUGAGGGUUCAAGUCCCUCCUUCAGC